This 106-nucleotide unclassified non-coding RNA is filed under the name soil metagenome. RNAcentral's name for it is "partial internal transcribed spacer 1". The record is from RNAcentral.
GUGAACGCCCUCACGGGCUUAUACUAUUCCAAACCUCUGUGAACCGUGCCCUUCGGGGCUAUUUUACAAACAUGGUGUAAUGGACGUCAUAUAUCAUAACAAAACA